AUCAACUUUCGAUGGUAGGAUAGAGGCCUACCAUGGUGGUAACGGGUAACGGGGUGUUAGGGCACGACACCGGAGAGGGAGCCUGAGAAACGGCUACCACAUCCAAGGAUGGCAGCAGGCGCGCAAAUUACCCAAUCCCGACACGGGGAGGUAGUGACAAUAAAUAACAAUACGGGGUUCUUUCGGAUUUCGUAAUUGGAAUGAGUACAAUUUAAAUCUCUUAACGAGGAACAAUUGGAGGGCAAGUCUGGUGCCAGCAGCCGCGGUAAUUCCAGCUCCGAUAGCGUAUAUUAAAGUUGCUGCAGUUAAAAAGCUCGUAGUUGAAUUUCGGGACCAAUAUGUCGGUCGUGCCUCGGUACGUACUGGCAUCGUUGGUUUCUCCCUUCUGACGAACCAUGAUGUCAUUUAUUUGGUGUCGUGGGGAAUCAGGACUGUUACUUUGAAAAAAUUAGAGUGUUUAAAGCAGGCUCACGCUUGAAUACAUUAGCAUGGAAUAAUGAAAUAGGACGUUUGAUUCUAUUUUGUUGGUUUCUAGGAUCGACGUAAUGAUUAAUAAGGAUAGUUGGGGGCAUUAGUAUUCAAUUGUCAGAGGUGAAAUUCUUGGAUUUAUUGAAGACUAACUACUGCGAAAGCAUUUGCCAAGGAUGUUUUCAUUAAUCAAGAACGAAAGUUAGGGGAUCGAAGACGAUCAGAUACCGUCGUAGUCUUAACCAUAAACUAUGCCGACUAGGGAUCGGAUGAUGUUAAUUUUUUAAUGACUCAUUCGGCGCCUUACGGGAAACCAAAGUGUUUGGGUUC
This 798-nucleotide ribosomal RNA is filed under the name uncultured Glomus. RNAcentral describes it as "SSU rRNA". It matches the Rfam family "Eukaryotic small subunit ribosomal RNA", at positions 314 to 1114 of the family's 1831-position model. Lineage: Eukaryota; Fungi; Glomeromycota; Glomeromycetes; Glomerales; Glomeraceae. The record is from RNAcentral.